AAAAAUGAUGAUGGUUUUAAGGCGCAAAUAAAAAAUUCUAACUAUUAUGUAGAAUGAUGAUAAUUGGUUGUCAUCCUUGAACUGAUUUUUUUUUU
Molecule: non-coding RNA, 95 nt
Organism: Hepatocystis sp. ex Piliocolobus tephrosceles
Lineage: Eukaryota; Apicomplexa; Aconoidasida; Haemosporida; Plasmodiidae
Source: the annotation of a GenBank genome assembly